UACGUAGGGGGCAAGCGUUGUCCGGAUUUACUGGGCGUAAAGAGCGCGCAGGCGGUCGUUCAAGUCGCGUGUGAAAGCCCCCGGCUCAACUGGGGAGGGUCACGCGAUACUGAUCGACUCGAAGGCAGGAGAGGGUAGUGGAAUUCCCGGUGUAGUGGUGAAAUGCGUAGAUAUCGGGAGGAACACCAGUGGCGAAAGCGGCUACCUGGCCCAUUCUUGACGCUGAGGCGCGAAAGCUAGGGGAGCAAACGGG
Molecule: ribosomal RNA, 253 nt
Filed under: uncultured bacterium
Lineage: Bacteria
Description: partial 16S ribosomal RNA
Rfam family: Bacterial small subunit ribosomal RNA
Source: RNAcentral